This 2425-nucleotide long non-coding RNA is filed under the name Sus scrofa (pig). RNAcentral's name for it is "lncRNA (ENSSSCG00050064046.1)". The record is from RNAcentral. Lineage: Eukaryota; Metazoa; Chordata; Mammalia; Artiodactyla; Suidae.
GGUGCUCAAUCCAGGGAAACAUUCAAAGCUGCUCCUGUCUGUCAGCUAAAGAUGACAAAUAUUUAUCAUCUCUGGACACCCCUCCAGCCUCUGAAAUAUGUACUCCAGUCAUGAAGCAGAGAAUGUUAUAGAGAAGACAAAGAAUUAAAUGACUGUUUAUCUUCCUUGGAACCAGAGACUCUCAUACUGAGUGAGGCGGGUGAGGAAGAGCCACCCACCAUUCAGGGCUUGUUUCCACUUGCCCCAAAGGCCUCCCUCGUCUAGGACACCAUUUUCUGGAAAAAGAUGAACAUCUGUAAGGACAGCCAGCUAGGCUGUUACAAGGCCUCCUCCUUCCAUCACCCCACAGGGAGUAAAUCUGGGCAGGGAAGGACCCAGCCAGAUGUGGAUGUCUGCAUGCUGCUGGGGCAACAUCCGCAUUUUUACAGAAAAAGACAGAUACCAUAUGAUCUCACUUGCACAUGGAAUCUAAAAACAAACAAAACAACUACCUCACAGAUACAGAAAACAGAUUGGUGGCUGCCAGAGCUGCUGCUUGCACAGUUGGAAUAACGUGCCACUAUGAGGUGGCUACUUCGUGAACCGGAGGUUCUCAUUCAGAGUAUAAAUUCAGAGGAAAGACAUCUUCAGGUAAAGAAGGAACAGAAAAUACCAAGUGGUUCUCCACAGGGACCUGUAUGUUUUUCACUACCUAUGGGAGGGAAGUGAAAACCUGUGUUUAGGGAUCCAUUGAAGAAUUUGGUGGUAUUCAUCCUAGUUCAGAGCAACCCCAUGCUGAGCAGAUUGCAUUCCAUCAUGAAAUAAUUGGUAUAGAGGACCUUGAAUAGGCAUGCUCUAUACUUCCAGCAUUUAGUAAAACUCAAAUGGCAGCUGUAAUGACAUUAGUUUAUCACUUCUCAUUCAUCAAAGACUAAAAGUAUUGGAGAAAUUCAUUGGAUAAUAUAACAUCCAUUACACCUUGACUCUGUAUCAGUGAUCAAAGGUGUAAAUACCAUAAGCACGACACUGAUGUUUAUACUCCAAAGUUUGACACCUCACUUUGGGCACAGGAAUAUUAAAAUGUUCUUAGCUAUAAUUCCUCUCCAAAUGUAAAAUUAAUCAUCAAGGCUUUCAAUAGCUUUACUUACUAUGCUGCACCUUAUUUUUUACAACAACCUAAGGAAAUACUCUAGCUACUGAGGCAGUGUUAUUGUAUGCCAAAAGGUGGAGGAGACUGCUAAUAAAGCAAAACCAACCCAAACCAAACCACCACCAACAACAAAACCCAGAAAACCAACUACUGAUAAUGCAGAGGUAAGUUUUUAUUAGGGGUUCUAAAGUGACAUAUGCCAGCUAAAUUAAACUUUUUAAGAUGGUGGAUUAGCCACAGAGUGAAAUCUUUCACACAGACCUCAAAGAAAUCAUAGAAAAGAGUUUUUUAAAAAAUGAUUAAAUACAUAUUUAUGCUUGGAAACCAAAGAAGAGAAUCUCUACAGAUUAGAAAGACAUACCUCAAAAUAGGAAACAAAUAGGAAGCGACAGUGGUAAAAAGAGGCCAAUGCUUUCAGAAAACUAUACUGGUCUAAAGGCAUAUAUAUACACAUAUAUAGGUACAUGUGUAUGUGUGCACACACAUUUGCAGGAAAGAUUUUAUGAAACAUACCAUCUAGUUGUUUAUACUACAAGGGUCAUUUAAAACCUGAACUUUAGGUUCUCCAAAUUUAGGUUAAUAUUGUUGAGAUUUAGGUGAUGUCCUAAGGAGAUCAUUUAGAAUUCAUGAUGGACAAAAAAGUCAUUCUUAGAAAAUGAAAAAACAAGAGCAAGACACCAAGCAUCUGAAAAUCUAACAUGUGAAGGAAGGAAAACACAAUGCACUUAUGGAAGAGUUUAAACUUGGAAAGAAGAGAAAUAAUGCAGCAAUUUGAAAAUGUUUUUAAUAUGUGUAUCUAGUACCCAGGAAGAUAGCAAAUAAAGAUAUAAAUAGUUAUUUGCUUUUUUUAUAAAAAAAUAUAGAAAAUAUGCUAUUGACCAAUGCCAGGCACAUAUUAAACACUUUAUGAAAUUCAGCCAUUAUUUUCUUUCACUAUAAUUUUGGCUUCAUGAAAGCAGAGAAUUUUGUUUGUUUUAUUUACUGCUAUGUUCUCCAGCAUGUAGAAGAAUUUCUUACACAUGGAACAAAAAUUGAACAACUAAUUUUUAGAUAAAAAGGCUCAGAGGAAAUGAACCCAACUAGCAUCCAUGAAGAUGUGGGUUCGAUCCCUGGCCCUCACUCAGUGGGUUAAGGAUUCGGAGUUGCCAUGAGCUGCAGUGUAGGUCACAGACGUGGCUCAGAUCUGGCAUUGCUGUAGCUGUGAUGUAGGCUGGCAGCUAUAACUUGGAUUAGACCCCUAGCCUGGGAACUUCCAUAUGCUACAGGUGUGGCCCUAAGCACCAAAAGAAAAAAAAA